Molecule: long non-coding RNA, 228 nt
Filed under: Coffea arabica (coffee)
Lineage: Eukaryota; Viridiplantae; Streptophyta; Magnoliopsida; Gentianales; Rubiaceae
Description: long non-coding RNA (CARA_LNC002677)
Source: RNAcentral
GUAGAGGUGUCAAUCUUUUUAACUCUUCUUUGCUGCUACAAGUGAUUCUACUUCUACCCGAAACAUCCACUCCCCUAUAAAGUCCCCAUGUCCAAAAAGAUCCCCUGCCUGUCUAGCAUUUCCUUGACUCUUAUAAUGACAGAUUUCCCUAAACAAUUUCCAAUGUUGGGUGAAAAGAUAGCCCAAAGAAGCCAAAUGGUACCAAUUGCUCUAAUAAUUGCAGCAUAA